This 618-nucleotide ribosomal RNA is filed under the name uncultured bacterium. RNAcentral's name for it is "bacterial SSU rRNA". The stretch from base 1 to 519 matches the Rfam family "Bacterial small subunit ribosomal RNA", at positions 338 to 873 of the family's 1533-position model. The record is from RNAcentral.
CCUACGGGAGGCAGCAGUGGGGAAUCUUGCGCAAUGGGCGAAAGCCUGACGCAGCCAUGCCGCGUGAAUGAUGAAGGUCUUAGGAUUGUAAAAUUCUUUCACCGGGGACGAUAAUGACGGUACCCGGAGAAGAAGCCCCGGCUAACUUCGUGCCAGCAGCCGCGGUAAUACGAAGGGGGCUAGCGUUGCUCGGAAUUACUGGGCGUAAAGGGAGCGUAGGCGGAUAGUUUAGUCAGAGGUGAAAGCCCAGGGCUCAACCUUGGAAUUGCCUUUGAUACUGGCUAUCUUGAGUAUGGGAGAGGUGUGUGGAACUCCGAGUGUAGAGGUGAAAUUCGUAGAUAUUCGGAAGAACACCAGUGGCGAAGGCGACACACUGGCCCAUUACUGACGCUGAGGCUCGAAAGCGUGGGGAGCAAACAGGAUUAGAUACCCUGGUAGUCCACGCCGUAAACGAUGAGUGCUAGUUGUCGGCAUGCAUGCNUGUCGGUGACGCAGCUAACGACAUAAGUACACUCCGCCGUCGGGGAGGUACGGUCGGCGAAGAAGUUAAACUAACUUAAAUUAGUAAGUUAGUUACGGCGUUGAGACGUGCCGACGGACGACGACGAGGGGAGGAGG